This 253-nucleotide ribosomal RNA is filed under the name uncultured bacterium. RNAcentral describes it as "partial 16S ribosomal RNA". It matches the Rfam family "Bacterial small subunit ribosomal RNA", at positions 524 to 776 of the family's 1533-position model. The record is from RNAcentral.
GACAGAGGAUGCAAGCGUUAUCCGGAAUUAUUGGGCGUAAAGCGUCUGUAGGUGGCUUUUUAAGUCUGCCGUCAAAUCCCAGGGCUUAACCCUGGACAGGCGGUGGAAACUACCAAGCUGGAGUACGGUAGGGGCAGGGGGAAUUUCCGGUGGAGCGGUGAAAUGCGUAGAGAUCGGAAAGAACACCAACGGCGAAAGCACUCUGCUGGGCCGACACUGACACUGAGAGACGAAAGCUAGGGGAGCGAAUGGG